UGGGGAAUAUUGGACAAUGGGUGAGAGCCUGAUCCAGCCAUGCCGCGUGCAGGAAGAAGGCGUUAUGCGUUGUAAACUGCUUUUUGCCAGGGGAUAAAAAGACCGUGCGCGGUUAAUUGAAGGUACCUGGUGAAUAAGCCACGGCUAACUACGUGCCAGCAGCCGCGGUAAUACGUAGGUGGCAAGCGUUGUCCGGAUUUAUUGGGUUUAAAGGGUGCGUAGGUGGCCCUGUAAGUCAGUGGUGAAAUAUCUCAGCUUAACUGAGAGGGUGCCAUUGAUACUGCAGGGCUUGAGUACAGAUGAGGUAGGCGGAAUUGACGGUGUAGCGGUGAAAUGCAUAGAUAUCGUCAAGAACACCGAUAGCGAAGGCAGCUUACCAAGCUGUAACUGACACUGAGGCACGAAAGUGUGGGGAUCAAACAGGAUUAGAUACCCUAGUAGUCCCUGAGCGGGCUGGCAAGGCGCAU
This 467-nucleotide ribosomal RNA is filed under the name uncultured bacterium. Its description in RNAcentral is "bacterial SSU rRNA". It matches the Rfam family "Bacterial small subunit ribosomal RNA", at positions 355 to 825 of the family's 1533-position model. The record is from RNAcentral.